RNAcentral lists this ribosomal RNA (644 nucleotides) under uncultured bacterium. Its description in RNAcentral is "bacterial SSU rRNA". It matches the Rfam family "Bacterial small subunit ribosomal RNA", at positions 232 to 885 of the family's 1533-position model. The record is from RNAcentral.
CGCGGCCUAUCAGCUUGUUGGUGGGGUAAUGGCUCACCAAGGCGACGACGGGUAGCCGGCCUGAGAGGGUGACCGGCCACACUGGGACUGAGACACGGCCCAGACUCCUACGGGAGGCAGCAGUGGGGAAUAUUGCACAAUGGGCGGAAGCCUGAUGCAGCGACGCCGCGUGAGGGAUGACGGCCUUCGGGUUGUAAACCUCUUUCAGCAGGGAAGAAGCCACAAGUGACGGUACCUGCAGAAGAAGCGCCGGCUAACUACGUGCCAGCAGCCGCGGUAAUACGUAGGGCGCAAGCGUUGUCCGGAAUUAUUGGGCGUAAAGAGCUCGUAGGCGGUUUGUCGCGUCUGCUGUGAAAGCCCGGGGCUCAGCCCCGGGUCUGCAGUGGGUACGGGCAGACUAGAGUGCAGUAGGGGAGACUGGAAUUCCUGGUGUAGCGGCGAAAUGCGCAGAUAUCAGGAGGAACACCGAUGGCGAAGGCAGGUCUCUGGGCUGUUACUGACGCUGAGGAGCGAAAGCAUGGGGAGCGAACAGGAUUAGAUACCCUGGUAGUCCAUGCCGUAAACGUUGGGCACUAGGUGUGGGGGACAUUCCACGUUCUCCGCGCCGCAGCUAACGCAUUAAGUGCCCCGCCUGGGGAGUACGG